Triplophysa dalaica is the source of this 674-nucleotide long non-coding RNA. RefSeq lists it as uncharacterized. Lineage: Eukaryota; Metazoa; Chordata; Actinopteri; Cypriniformes; Nemacheilidae. The record is from RefSeq and is a predicted model, not a curated record. The transcript has 3 exons.
UCGUUCGUGAUGCGUGUAUAUCAUGUCUAGAGUCUGUGUUCUACGGUGUGAAACGAUGUCGGUCUUAUUUCAACUAUCAUAGGAAUAACGUCUCAGGGAAAAAUGGUUACAAUUAAUUUUUCCAACGAUACCAAAGGAGUAUAACCCCAUGGUUGUACUGUGCGCGCGUCAUUUCACCGAAGAUUGGUUUAAUAAUCUUGGCGCGUUCAGUGCAGGAUAUGUGAAACGACGAUCAUUGAAAGAGGAGGAAAUACCAACUCUAUUUGGACCUGUUAGCCCCUCCGAAUCCCAACCUCAUUCGGGGAAAUACUCAAUGGUAACGUGAUACAUAAUGUGGAUAAAACAGACACAUACUGAACUUGAAGAUCAUAAACCUAUUUAAGGAAACGACUGGAUAUCUUCCGGUUUCUUCAAAGUCCCUCCUUCCAAAAUGCUUUGAUUGGUAAAGCUGACCAGGUCUGUCGUGAUUGGUUUUUCCGAUUAGAGUGUGUGUUAGAAGAUGUCCCACCCAUACCAUAUCAGCGAGUUCCGCUCCUCAAACUGUUGUGAUUGGUCGGUCCUCCUUUCAGUGCAGGUGAAUUCAUGAGCUUUGGCUUUUAGCAAUAAACAGUAACAAAUGCGUCAACUUCACUUCAUCAGUUAAAAACAUGGGGAUCGUUCGAAGUGUAACGGAG